This 562-nucleotide ribosomal RNA is filed under the name uncultured bacterium. Its description in RNAcentral is "partial 16S ribosomal RNA". It matches the Rfam family "Bacterial small subunit ribosomal RNA", at positions 355 to 907 of the family's 1533-position model. The record is from RNAcentral.
UGGGGAAUAUUGCACAAUGGGCGCAAGCCUGAUGCAGCCAUGCCGCGUGUGUGAAGAAGGCCUUCGGGUUGUAAAGCACUUUCAGCGAGGAGGAAGGUGGUGGACUUAAUACGUUCAUCAAUUGACGUUACUCGCAGAAGAAGCACCGGCUAACUCCGUGCCAGCAGCCACGGUAAUACGGAGGGUGCAAGCGUUAAUCGGAAUUACUGGGCGUAAAAGCGCACGCAGGCGGUUUGUUAAGUCAGAUGUGAAAUCCCCGGGCUCAACCUGGGAACUGCAUUUGAAACUGGCAAGCUAGAGUCUCGUAGAGGGGGGUAGAAUUCCAGGUGUAGCGGUGAAAUGCGUAGAGAUCUGGAGGAAUACCGGUGGCGAAGGCGGCCCCCCUGGACGAAGACUGACGCUCAGGUGCGAAAGCGUGGGGAGCAAACAGGAUUAGAUACCCUGGUAGUCCACGCUGUAAACGAUGUCGAUUUGGAGGUUGUGCCCUUGAGGCGUGGCUUCCGGAGCUAACGCGUUAAAUCGACCGCCUGGGGAGUACGGCCGCAAGGUUAAAACUCAAAGG